RNAcentral lists this ribosomal RNA (1234 nucleotides) under metagenome. Its description in RNAcentral is "bacterial LSU rRNA". It matches the Rfam family "Bacterial large subunit ribosomal RNA", at positions 1564 to 2808 of the family's 2925-position model. The record is from RNAcentral.
UGAAUACGAGAUGCUAAGGCGUCGAAGUAGUGUAUGUCAUGCUUCCAAGAAAAGCUUGCAAUGUCAUAAAUAAAGAAUGCCUGUACCAUAACCGACACAGGUGGGUAAGUAGAGUAUACUAAGGGGCGCGAGAUAACUCUCUCUAAGGAACUCGGCAAAAUAACUCCGUAACUUCGGGAGAAGGAGUGCCUUAUUCUUAAGGUUGCAAUAACAAGAUCCAAGCAACUGUUUAUCAAAAACACAGGUCUCCGCUAAGUCGUAAGACGAUGUAUGGGGGCUGACGCCUGCCCAGUGCCAGAAGGUUAAAGAAGUCGGUUAGCAAUUGCGAAGCUGGUAACUGAAGCCCUGGUGAACGGCGGCCGUAACUAUAACGGUCCUAAGGUAGCGAAAUUCCUUGUCGGGUAAGUUCCGACCCGCACGAAAGGCGUAAUGAUUUGGAUGCUGUCUCGGAGAGGGGCUCGGUGAAAUAGACUUGUCUGUGAAGAUGCGGACUACCUGCACCAGGACAGAAAGACCCUAUGAAGCUUUACUGUAACUUGAAAUUGAAAUUGGACUUUAUUCGCGCAGUAUAGGUGGGAGGCGUUGAUUAUAAUCUUGCGGGAUUAUCGGAGCCAUCAGUGAGAUACCACUCUUCUAAUGUUAGAUUUCUAACUUUGAAUCAUUAUCUGGUCAAAGGACAAUUUCAGGCGGGCAGUUUGACUGGGGCGGUCGCCUCCUAAAUGGUAACGGAGGCGUACAAAGGUUUCCUCUGAACGGUUAGAAAUCGUAUCUAGAGUGUAAAGGCAUAAGGAAGCUUGACUGUGAGACCUACAAGUCGAGCAGGGACGAAAGUCGGUCUUAGUGAACUGACGGUACUGAGUGGAAAGGCCGUCACUCAACGGAUAAAAGUUACUCUAGGAUAACAGGCUGAUCUCCCCCAAGAGUUCACAUCGACGGGGAGGUUUGGCACCUCGAUGUCGGCUCAUCGCAUCCUGGGGCGGUAGUACGUCCCAAGGGUUGGGCUGUUCGCCCAUGAAAGCGGUACGCGAGCUGGGUUCAGAACGUCGUGAGACAGUUCGGUCCAUAUCCGGUGUAGGCGUUAGAAUAUUGAGAGGAGCCUUCUUUAGUACGAGAGGACCGAGAAGGACAUACCUCUGGUGUACCAGUUAUCGUGCCAACGGUAAACGCUGGGUAGCUAUGUAUGGAGUGGAUAACCGCUGAAAGCAUCUAAGUGGGAAGCCCACCUCAAGAUAAG